GGCAGUUCCAUAGCUCAGUCAAUAGAGCAUAAGACUUAAUCUCAGGGUUGUGGGUUUGAGCCCCACAUUGGGCCA
Non-coding RNA from Podarcis lilfordi (Lilford's wall lizard), 75 nucleotides. Lineage: Eukaryota; Metazoa; Chordata; Lepidosauria; Squamata; Lacertidae. The record is from the annotation of a GenBank genome assembly.